GGGCUUAAAGCGUUCGUAGCCGGCUCAGCAAGUCUUCCGUUAAAUCCAGCGAUCUAAUCGUUGGACUGCGGAAGAUACUGUUGGGCUAGGGGACGGGAGAAGCCGACGGUAUUCUCGGGGUAGGGGCGAAAUCCUAUAAUCCCGGGAGGACCACCAGUGGCGAAGGCGGUCGGCUAGAACGCGCCCGACGGUGAGGGACGAAAGCUGGGGGAGCGAACCGGAUUAGAUACCCGGGUAGUCCCAGCUGUAAACUAUGCGGGCUAGGUGUUGGGGCGGCCACGAGCCGCUUCAGUGCCGCACGGAAGCAAUUAAGCCCGCCGCCUGGGAAGUACGGCCGCAAGGCUGAAACUUAAAGGAAUUGGCGGGGGAGCACCACAAGGCGUGAAGCUUGCGGUUUAAUUGGAUUCAACGCCGGAA
This 417-nucleotide ribosomal RNA is filed under the name uncultured archaeon. RNAcentral's name for it is "bacterial SSU rRNA". It matches the Rfam family "Archaeal small subunit ribosomal RNA", at positions 506 to 923 of the family's 1478-position model. The record is from RNAcentral.